Molecule: ribosomal RNA, 508 nt
Filed under: Prevotella sp. 3-11
Lineage: Bacteria; Pseudomonadati; Bacteroidota; Bacteroidia; Bacteroidales; Prevotellaceae
Description: bacterial SSU rRNA
Rfam family: Bacterial small subunit ribosomal RNA
Source: RNAcentral
GACCGUGUUACUACCUCUCGCUACCAUGCAGUCGAGGGGCAGCAUAUAGAUUGCUUGCAAUUUAUGAUGGCGACCGGCGCACGGGUGAGUAACGCGUAUCCAACCUACCCAUUACUAGGGAAUAACCCAGCGAAAGUUGGCCUAAUGCCCUAUGUAGUCGUUUGAUCGCCUGAGAUUUCGACGAAAGAUUUAUCGGUAUUGGAUGGGGAUGCGUCUGAUUAGCUUGUUGGCGGGGUAAAGGCCCACCAAGGCAACGAUCAGUAGGGGUUCUGAGAGGAAGGUCCCCCACAUUGGAACUGAGACACGGUCCAAACUCCUACGGGAGGCAGCAGUGAGGAAUAUUGGUCAAUGGGCGAGAGCCUGAACCAGCCAAGUAGCGUGCAGGAUGACGGCCCUAUGGGUUGUAAACUGCUUUUAUAUGGGAAUAAAGUGAGGGACGUGUCCCUUAUUGCAUGUACCAUACGAAUAAGGACCGGCUAAUUCCGUGCCAGCAGCCGCCGGUAAUAAA